Molecule: long non-coding RNA, 2338 nt
Organism: Gavialis gangeticus (Gharial)
Lineage: Eukaryota; Metazoa; Chordata; Crocodylia; Gavialidae
Exons: 4
Source: RefSeq, a predicted model, not a curated record
GCCUUGAGAGAACCCCUCUCUGGCCUGGAGCAGCCUCCACCCCAUCCUGGGCACAUGCCCGAGGAGGAGGCAAGAGGGGGUGAAACCCCCGGACCUCAGGAUGAGCUGAUUAUUAUUCUGAAAGAGGAGCCCCUGCCCCACUAAGAGCCAGAUUCACCAGACAUGGAGGAGACAUGGGACUCAUCAGCAGAUGAAAGCUCCUUGGGCUGCUUCCCUAAACAGGGCCCUUUCCUGGGGCAGGGGCAGGGACCCUGAGCACAGCUGAGGAGCAGUUUGCUGAGGAUGGGUCUGUGAACCUAGAGCUGCUGAUGCUGUCCCCAGGACAAUCAGGGGACAAGGGACCCUUAACACCUGAGUUGAGCCAAGUGCACGAGAAGCAGGGCAGAGACAACAUGGCCAUAGGCAAGACUAGCACCCAUAGGUUAAAGAUCGAGUGGUCAAAAAGGAGCCUGGUGUGGCAUCAUUUCACAAAAAUCAAAGAUGCUGUCAGGUGUAAGUUAUGCACUACGGAGCUUAGGUACGGGAGCAGCACUGGAGCAAUGCUGAACUAUCUUAAGCAGAUGCAGCCUGCUAUUUCAAGUGAAAGGCAAGAUCAGAAGCAAACAACAAUGCCUACAUUCAUUCCUGGCAGUGCGAGGAAAUGUGAUACACAGCGUGCUGAAAAACUGACCAAAUUGUUAUGCUCCGUGAUAACUGAAGCCAUGCUGCCUAUAAGUGUUAUUGAGGGUGCCGGUUUCCCGUGCAUUAAUGAGUUUUGUGGAACUUGAACACCAUGUGCCUGUGAGACAAACUGUGACUGCACAACUGGAGAAGUGGUAUGAAACCUGCGUGAACUGUCUGCAGGGAAAACUGGGGAAAGCCAAUAAAGUAGCUUUCACUACUGACUGUUGGAUAGCAGUAAAUGCAGAAAGCUAUAUGACCAUCACCUGUCAUUACAUUGAAAACUAGGAGCUUCAGUCAGCUGUGCUCCAGAUGGAAAGUAUGCUAGAACCACACACAGCAGAAAAUAUUGCUGAAAAGUUAAACCCUAUAGUAGAGAGAUGGGGCCUGGAAAACCGUAUCUUGGCAUGUGUUCAUGAUAAUGUGAGCAAUGUCGUGCUCACCGACAUGCCGAGAUAUGUUGCGUGGGACUCUGUAAACUGUUUUGCUCACAUAUUGCAGCUGACUAUAAAUGAUGGCUUUUCUGGCAGCGUCGCUCAUGUUUUUGCGGCCGCCAGUAGGCUAGUUGCACAUUUCCAGCCUGGCUCCGUUGCUGCUAAAACACCCGACAGGAAACAAACGCAGUAUCAGAUUAAGCAUAACCCCUUGAUUCAGUCUUGUAAAACUCACUGGAAUUCAGCGUAUGAAAUGUUUGAGAGACUCAGUGAGCAAAGGUGGCCAACAACGGCGGUGCUCUCAGAUCGCUCGUUUAUGAAGCUAUAUGAUGUUUAGAUGUUUGAGCUGCAGGAUGCGCAAUGGCAAUUAAUAGAGCAUAUCUUACCUAUCUUUUUGAGUUUAAAAUGUGCCACAACAGCCAUGUCUGCUGAGCAUUCAGCCUCCAUUUAAAAUAUUUAUCCCAUUUGCAAGUCUUCUCAACACUCACCUAAAAACCGAAACUGCUGCCAAAAGUAGAAAGAUAGUUGAUUUCAAGUCUGCUGUCCUCUGGAGUAUUGCAUGAAACCCAAUGAUCCCGCCAUAAUAAACAGAGCUGCAUUAAUAGCAUCCAUACUGGAUCUCCACCACAAGCACCUGCAGUUUCUUUUGCCCGAUAUCCAGAUUGCUGCCAAAUCAAAGCUUAUGCAAACUUGCGUCUUUCUUGAAAAAUGAAGCUGCUCCGAGUGCUGCGGCUGAAUCCUCUGAACUGACUGCGCCGGCAGUGAAAAAACUGCGUGAAACUAAGAAGAGUGCUAUCGCCAUGCUUUUAGGUGAAGAUUACAGUAAGAAAACUGAUGGGAAUGCGGUAGAAAAUGAAUUGGAAAGUUACUUCCGAGAGCCCUGCCCCUUGUUGAAGUGCAAUCCGUUGGAGUGGUGGAAAGUCAAUGCACCGCUUUCCUAGGCUUGCAAAAUUGGCUAAGAGUUACCUUUGCAUCCCAGGAUCCUCCGUGCCUGCAGAACACAUGUUUUCUACUGCUGGGCUGACUGUCAAUCAGCUGCACUCAAAACUCACAUCAGAGCAUGUCAACAUAUUAAUUUUUCUCAAUAAAAAUCAUCAGUAGAGUUGUGAUGCAGCUUUUUGUUUUAGUUGUUGCUCAUUUAACCUCCAUGCAACCUUGAGAUUAGAUUUUUUUUUCUGAUCUGAUUUUUUCUUUUCUUUUUUGGAAGACCAAUCAUCUUUUAAAUGAGGAUUUCAUGUUAAAAA